Molecule: ribosomal RNA, 494 nt
Filed under: uncultured bacterium
Lineage: Bacteria
Description: bacterial SSU rRNA
Rfam family: Bacterial small subunit ribosomal RNA
Source: RNAcentral
AAAUGAAUUGACGGGGACCCGCACAAGCGGUGGAGCAUGUGGUUUAAUUCGACGCAACGCGAAGAACCUUACCUGGACUAGAAUGUGAGGGAAGUUCGUCUAACAGCGAGCGUCCGGGAAACCGGACCCAAAACAAGGUGCUGCAUGGCUGUCGUCAGCUCGUGUCGUGAGAUGUUGGGUUAAGUCCCGCAACGAGCGCAACCCUUAUCAACAGUUGCCAUCAUUAAGUUGGGAACUCUGUUGAGACUGCCGUUGAUAAAACGGAGGAAGGUGGGGAUGAUGUCAAGUCAUCAUGGCCUUUAUGUUCAGGGCUACACACGUGCUACAAUGGCCGGUACAAAACGUCGCAAUCCCGCGAGGGGGAGCUAAUCGCAAAAACCGGUCUCAGUUCGGAUUGGAGUCUGCAACUCGACUCCAUGAAGUUGGAAUCGCUAGUAAUCGCAAAUCAGCAUGUUGCGGUGAAUACGUUCCCGGGUCUUGUACACACCGCCCGU